UACAGAGGGUGCAAGCGUUGUUCGGAAUUAUUGGGCGUAAAGCGCGUGUAGGCGGCUUUGCAAGUCGGGUGUGAAAUCCCUCAGCUUAACUGAGGAAGUGCGCCCGAAACUGCCGAGCUUGAGUACCGGAGAGGGUGGCGGAAUUCCCCAAGUAGAGGUGAAAUUCGUAGAUAUUCGGAAGAACACCAGUGGCGAAGGCGGCUCACUGGCCCGGUACUGACGCUGAAAUACGAAAGCGUGGGGAGCAAACAGG
This 253-nucleotide ribosomal RNA is filed under the name uncultured bacterium. Its description in RNAcentral is "partial 16S ribosomal RNA". It matches the Rfam family "Bacterial small subunit ribosomal RNA", at positions 524 to 776 of the family's 1533-position model. The record is from RNAcentral.